CGCCAAAAGAAUACCAAUUAGCUACCUGUGCAUCCCUAAUGCCCCUCAGGCACCACCCCCAACCUAAGCUACAUGUAUGUCCCCACUCCACGUGUUCCACGGAGAGAUCACUGACCCCGGGGGUAGGUGCCGCACCCCAGGGGAUUGGGGGUGUCUCUCCCUGCAUUCUCAAUAUAAAGGUCAUUUAUAUUUCAUACUUCUUAUCUUUUCAGCCACCGCCAGUCCCCCACAGUUCUAUCAUAUGGUUCCCUGACCGGGGAACGGCAGAUGAGAGAUCCCUGGGGCCCUCCCAGUUUGAGUCCCCUGCUGUUCAGGACCAGGACUGGACUGCAUCCUGCAUUAAUUCCUUACUUCUACACUUGGGAGCUGUAAACUUGUCACUGCUUGCUCGCAAACAGCACCAACCCAAUUUACCACAGGUGAGCAACCCCUGGAGAUUGCCACUGGGCCAGGCCCCAGAGAUAACAAUAACACUUGUGACACUUGGAGUUCUGAGACAGGUAAACUGACACAAGGUGGAGCUGCCUGCUCCCCCCCAUGGACCAUGCCUCAAAUGCAGCAGAAGACAUUGGGCAAGAGAGUGCCUCAUCCUGGCGUUCCUUUGGGAUCUUACCCCAGGGCUACUGGACUGUCCUAGCCACCAGAGAGUGGGUAAGCCAUCCUAACUUCCAGCCCUCACAGGAAAUGCCAACACUGCCAAAUUCAUCGCCGACAUAUCUGCUUAAACUUGUUGCUGAAGACUGAU
RNAcentral lists this long non-coding RNA (745 nucleotides) under Cavia porcellus (domestic guinea pig). Its description in RNAcentral is "lncRNA (ENSCPOG00000037811.1)". The record is from RNAcentral. Lineage: Eukaryota; Metazoa; Chordata; Mammalia; Rodentia; Caviidae.